CAGCUGCAGGCUCUGUUCACCCAUCUGCAAGAGCUUAAUGCCCUGAUGGGGCUAUUAACACCUAUCUGAUCAGCAUUCAUCUCUAUAGCAAUUUGCUGCUGAGUUUAACAAACUUUGCCUGAGGUGUUGCUACACUGAGUGGUGGGUAAGCCAGGUGGGAAGUAGCCCUAAAUGGGGAGAGAUGAUGGAAGAGGGGACAGCUGUGUGGCUGGAGCCUGUGAUAGAAGGAAAGCACAGGCUCCCCUACCUCUUACUCCUCAGCUGUUGCACCUGGAGGUGGUGAGCUGAUACCUUGCAACCAAGGGGUCAUAUUGUCUAUGGACAGCAAGAGAGUCAAAACCCUGAUACAGGGAGAGAUGGCUGAGGUCACACAGACCCUAGAGAAAGGGGUGUGGUCCAAGCUGGGAAAUGGACCUACUGGGGCAGGCCCACAGUGUUGAGAGGCAAAUAUUGAUGUUGUGCUUUUGUUUGGAUGUUCAUUUACCCUGGGGAGUGGGAACUUCUGCUUUGCCCAAAGAGCAAAACUACCCAAGACCAGGGGGAAACAGAGGCACGCAUCUCCUAACAGUGAGACAGAGCGUACUGACCAGGGAGAAACUGAGGCAUGGCUGUACCUGCCAUUGGAGAGCGAUAGAACUCUUUCAGCUAGUUGAAAUGCUACAUAAUUGUCUUCCACAAAUUCAGAUUCACCGUGGUAAAACUGCACGGCAGAAGAGCGUUCCACGGAGAUAAGAUGAUGUGACAAACUGUGAUAAAUUGGGAUUUUACCAUGCCACAGCUGCAUUCAGCAUUGAAAAGCCAAAGGCCACGUACUUCAAUCAUCUUGGGGGUUGAAACUCCAUUUUUACUUUGUUUCUGAAUGCUUAACUUGGCUCAGUAUCUCAACGGGUUUCUGGGGUGUGAGGUCUCUGUGUCAGGAAGUGAUGCUACUGUGUGUAUCCUAAGCACAAACAGAGGAGUUAAAGAUGAAACUUUAAUUAUGAGUGGAUCUUCAAAAAAGUGUAGUGCUUACAUUUAAUUUGUUUUUGUUUUCAGUUUGUGCCACAAUAUGUUUUUACUUCAUUGUUCACCUGUGAAUGUGUGUUGUGUUUAGUUAACCAAAUAUUGUCGCGGAAGUGCCUGAAAGUUAAGACAUAGAUCAUAAUGACAUGUUUACAGUCACUGUACCCUAACAUAUACUCUCUGUAUAGCACAUCCCUGGUUCCUUUUUCUUCCUAAAACAAUGAAGUUUACUCAUAUUAAU
Molecule: long non-coding RNA, 1243 nt
Organism: Dermochelys coriacea (leatherback sea turtle)
Lineage: Eukaryota; Metazoa; Chordata; Testudines; Dermochelyidae
Exons: 2
Source: RefSeq, a predicted model, not a curated record